RNAcentral lists this transfer RNA (71 nucleotides) under Crinia signifera. RNAcentral describes it as "tRNA-Ser". It matches the Rfam family "tRNA". Rfam says of the family: Transfer RNA (tRNA) molecules are approximately 80 nucleotides in length. Their secondary structure includes four short double-helical elements and three loops (D, anti-codon, and T loops). Further hydrogen bonds mediate the characteristic L-shaped molecular structure. tRNAs have two regions of fundamental functional importance: the anti-codon, which is responsible for specific mRNA codon recognition, and the 3' end, to which the tRNAs corresponding amino acid is attached (by aminoacyl-tRNA synthetases). tRNAs cope with the degeneracy of the genetic code in two manners: having more than one tRNA (with a specific anti-codon) for a particular amino acid; and 'wobble' base-pairing, i.e. permitting non-standard base-pairing at the 3rd anti-codon position. The record is from RNAcentral. Lineage: Eukaryota; Metazoa; Chordata; Amphibia; Anura; Myobatrachidae.
AAGAAGGUGACAGAGUGGUUAUGUGUCUGGCUUGAAACCAGAAGAUGGAGGUUCGAUUCCUUCCUUUCUUG